UGAUGACUUUUAAUUGAAAUUGAUUUUU
RNAcentral lists this non-coding RNA (28 nucleotides) under Rattus norvegicus (Norway rat). Lineage: Eukaryota; Metazoa; Chordata; Mammalia; Rodentia; Muridae. The record is from RNAcentral.